Long non-coding RNA from Cyprinus carpio carpio, 449 nucleotides. The record is from Ensembl. Lineage: Eukaryota; Metazoa; Chordata; Actinopteri; Cypriniformes; Cyprinidae.
UCCUAAUUUUACCAGCUCUUCCACAGUAUUUACUCGGCUACGCAAUUGGCUGGCAAGAGAGCUCUGUAAGAAAACGCGAAGUCUCUAAUGGAUUCUGUGUCUCUUUGAAUCCUAGUACGGACACGUUCAGCCAGUUCGUCCUCAUAAUCCUCAGAAAGGAAAGCAGAUAUGAAUGCAGUCUCAAACUCAAUCCAAGUGGUUAUGCUGGACCGUCUGACUUCCCACCAGUCUCGUGCUGUUCCGUACAAGACAGUACGGAAGGUAGCCAGGAUGUCUGCAUCUGUCAGGGGAUGUACAGCCAAAAAAUCCUGACAUUUAGUUAGGUACAAUAGGGGGUCUGCAUCGUCUGAAGGCCUUCCAAAUGUGGGGAAGGUUAAUUUAAUAUGGUCACUUUUAACCACAGAUGUUAACAGAGGGGUUGAAGAAGUUGAAAGAGUCACUGGAGCAAA